UACGAAGGGUGCAAGCGUUACUCGGAAUUACUGGGCGUAAAGCGUGCGUAGGUGGUGCGUUAAGUCUGUCGUGAAAGCCCCGGGCUCAACCUGGGAAUGGCGAUGGAUACUGGCGCGCUAGAGUGCGGUAGAGGAGAGUGGAAUUCCCGGUGUAGCAGUGAAAUGCGUAGAUAUGCGGAGGAACACCGAUGGCGAAGGCAAUCCCCUGGACCUGUACUGACGCUCAUGCACGAAAGCGUGGGGAGCAAACAGG
Molecule: ribosomal RNA, 253 nt
Filed under: uncultured bacterium
Lineage: Bacteria
Description: partial 16S ribosomal RNA
Rfam family: Bacterial small subunit ribosomal RNA
Source: RNAcentral